This is a long non-coding RNA of Jaculus jaculus (lesser Egyptian jerboa), 710 nucleotides long. RefSeq lists it as uncharacterized. The record is from RefSeq and is a predicted model, not a curated record. The transcript is spliced from 3 exons. Lineage: Eukaryota; Metazoa; Chordata; Mammalia; Rodentia; Dipodidae.
GAUCUACCAUGUGUCCUUUACCCUUUCUUUGACUUCGGCACAUGGGCUAUUCAGGCACCCAGGUGGAGGUGUUAGAAGCAUGAAGAAAAUGUCUACUUGAUGGGGUACCCUUCUAGCAGGGAGCAUCUGGGAAUUUGCCCACCAUCUGGUUUCAAAAACCUCCAACAAUGUUGAAUUAUGAACUCCUAUGUUCUGAAUGUGAUCCAGGAACUGAAGGCCCAAGAUAGCAAGGAUACUGAAGGAGGUCUCUGUUCCCAAUGUCAACACACAGAGGCUGCUACAGCUAUGUUCCAUGGGCACUAGCCUUUUUUUCUCAUCUAACAUCAAAACUUGGUAGCAUUGUUUAUGUAACACUGGAUUUGGAAGAAUAAAUGAUACAAUAUGGGGGGGGGCAUGGAAUAUUUUACCAUGGUUCCAGAGAGAUGCUGAGGCUAUGAAACGUGAGGCAGGGUUGAAGUUUCCUGGGUUGCCCCCCCACCCAGUUCAGUGUCAAAUGUCUUUGGAAUUUUGAUGAAUAUUGCAUUGAGUCUACAGAUUACUUUUAGUAAAACAGCCAUUUUCACAAUCUUAAUUCUGCCAAUCCAAGAGCAUGGACAGUGUUUCCAACUUCUAGUACCAUCUAUGGUUUCUUUUUUCAGUAUCGUGAAGUUUUAAUUGUAGAGGUAGUUCAUCAUUUACAUAAAUGCAUAGCUAGAAAGCACAUGAUCAUC